UAAGGAAUAUUGCUCAAUGGGAGAAAUCCUGAAGCAGCAACGCCGCGUGGAGGAUGAAGGGUUUUAACUUGUAAACUCCUGUAAAGAAGGAAAAAAUUCCCAUUAGAUGGGAAAUGAUGGUACUUCUGGAGUAAGCCCCGGCUAACUACGUGCCAGCAGCCGCGGUAAUACGUAGGGGGCAAGCGUUGUCCGGAUUUACUGGGUGUAAAGGGUGCUCAGGCGGAUUUGUAAGUCAGAGGUGAAAUCUCACAGCUUAACUGUGAAACUGCCUUUGAUACUGCAAGCCUAGAGUAUGGAAGAGAGUGAUGGAAUAUCUGGUGUAGCAGUGAAAUGCGUAGAUAUCAGAUAGAACACCAAUGGCGAAGGCAGUCACUUGGUCCAUAACUGACGCUAAAGCACGAAAAGCGUGGGUAGCAAAACAGGAUUAGAUACCCUGGUAGUCCACGCCCUAAACGAUGAAUACUAGAUGUUGGCUUCGCAUGAAGUCAGUAUCUGAGCUAACGCAUUAAGUAUUCCACCUGGGAAGUACGAUCGCAAGGUUGAAACUCAAAGGAAUUGACGGGGUCAUAGCUGUUUCCUG
Molecule: ribosomal RNA, 580 nt
Filed under: uncultured bacterium
Lineage: Bacteria
Description: partial 16S ribosomal RNA
Rfam family: Bacterial small subunit ribosomal RNA
Source: RNAcentral